Molecule: transfer RNA, 71 nt
Filed under: Chaetobromus involucratus subsp. dregeanus
Lineage: Eukaryota; Viridiplantae; Streptophyta; Magnoliopsida; Poales; Poaceae
Also listed under: 1 other name
Description: tRNA-Cys
Rfam family: tRNA
About the family: Transfer RNA (tRNA) molecules are approximately 80 nucleotides in length.
Source: RNAcentral
GGCGGCAUAGCCAAGUGGUAAGGCAGGGGACUGCAAAUCCUUUAUCCCCAGUUCAAAUCUGGGUGCCGCCU